Long non-coding RNA from Magnolia sinica, 7537 nucleotides. RefSeq lists it as uncharacterized. The transcript is spliced from 2 exons. The record is from RefSeq and is a predicted model, not a curated record. NCBI's taxonomy places the organism in Eukaryota, Viridiplantae, Streptophyta, Magnoliopsida, Magnoliales, Magnoliaceae.
UUUAUAGUAAGUCGCGUUUUUAAGGGAGUCCAGAGAGCUCCGUGGAUUUGGAGUAGUUAUUCCCUGAGGAAGAUGGUGGUCGAUCUCAUCAUGUCCAUCCCUGCAUCAAAGCCUAUACAGACUCCUUGUGUUCACUUGCUUUUUCAUUAUGCAACGGUGGAAUCGGUAUGGAAUUUCUUAGGGAGUUUAAAACUCCCUGGGUCAGAAGUGUGUCCCUGGUUGAGGAUUUAUUAGUUGGUGAGCAGUCCAGUCCAUGGCAAGUGCAAGAUUCUGUGGAGUUUGGUGUCGUUUGCUGGCAAGAAAGGAACAAUAGGAUAUUUAUAAAGGACAUCCACAUUUCCACAUAAGUUCUGAUUGAGAAAACUAGAUCCUGCAGGAAUUUCUAACAGUAUAGGUUUGAGCCAAUGCUUUAAUACAACUAGCCCAUUUUUCAAUGGCAUAGGGUCGAGCCAAUAUUUUAAUACGACCUAACCCUUUUCUCAAUGGUGUAGGGUCAACUCAUUGUUUUAAACCAACCUAACUCAUGUUUUAAUGGCAUAGGGUCGAGCCAUGUUUGAAUACGAUUGAACCCAUGUUUGAAUACGAUCGAACCCCAUUUUUUUUUUUUUUUUUUUUCGGCAUAUGGUUGAGUCAAUGUUUGAAUAUGGUCCAAACCAUGUUUUUGAUGGCACAGGUUCAACCUGAUCUUUUAAAUACGAUCCAAACCCAUGUUUUUUAUGACCUGAUGUUUGAACCGAUUUCUUAAUAUGAUCCAAAUGCAUGUUUUUUAUGGUAUAGGAUAGAGCUGAUAUUUGUAUACGAUCCAAACCCAUUUUUAAUAGCAUAGGGUUGAGUCGGCAUUUUACUACGACCUAACCAAAUUACCUGCAUAUGGUUGAUCUGAUGUUUUAACAUGACUAAAAUCUAUAACAACAUGCGCUUAUGUGAUCUAGUCACCUGCCUUUGUCAAAUCUUUUUCUACAUGAGUAGCAUUUGUAGACCCACAUGCUUUUAUAUCCCAGCAGUCACAUUUUUACUUUAGUCUACUUGAAUGAAGAUAUCAGCUCACCAGAGUUAUGCACUAAGUUUGAUGAUGUUCCAAUGGAAGAUUAAGCCAGAUCAAGUUAAUGUAGCCAUUCAUCCAUAUGCAUCAGGAGUGCUCCAGGAAGCAUGCUGGAAUGAAGAUCUAGAUGUGUGAAGGGCAUCCAUGAAAUUUGAAAGGCAAUCCAAUUUCAAAAUCAUGAGAAAAAGAAUCGAUGGAGAUUACACAUCAUGAGGUGGCCCAGUGGGCCCCAGUUGUUAGAUUGAUCCAAAGAAGCUCCAAAGUCAUUAAUGUGCUAGAGCUACAUUGUUGGAAAGCUAAUUCGAUAAGCUCUCCAAUUAGACCAACUUCAUGAAAAUUUGAUGUUGUUUAAUCCUUGUAACUGUGGAUACAAUGUGAGGGAUAGUAGGGACCCAGAUGUUUGCAGCCUGCCAUGACCUGGUUUUGAUGUGGUCAAUGUAGCUGCAAUGUGGUUUCUUCUUCCUCAGGGAGUUGAGGAGAAUGUGACUACGUUUACGUUCUCCACCAUUUUUUUAAUGCCACCACCACCACCAUUACACUUCAAGAUCUACAGCAGGAGGACAAAAAUCAAAGCAAAAGGGGGAACUUAAUGUUCAAGAAAGUGUGCAAAGAGAGGGAGUUCAAGAGAAGCCCCAUAUUGCUAUUUGAGAUCACCAAACACCGAGGAAGAUAGCUUGGAGAGGACUAACGUUCUGAUUUCCCCUUGUUGCAUUUUCUCUCUCUGUUUCCUCUUAUUUUAUUUAUUUAUUUAAUUUCGGCCAUUAAAAUAGUUAAAUGUAAGGUUAGUGCAGGAUUGAGCAGUAGGGUUGAAACAGAUUCUUGUAAGAACCCACUUCGAAUAAUCAAACCAGGGUGUUUGUUUCACCAUAGUGUGAUUCCUCCCUUGGAACUGUAACGGGUUCCCUAAAUUUCUUGGAGCCCACAAGACCUAAAUGCUUAUAUAUGAAACAUUUAAAUUUCUUGGAGCCCACUUUUUAAGUAAAGGAACUUAAAUGCCUAUCUUAAGGCAUGCGGCGCACUUGUAAAGUUAAAGUGGCAUGUAAAGGCACCUAAUGUGUAUCCCUAUGGGAUUUAGACCACUUUUCAAGUUAAAACUACAAGUAAAGGCAUCUCAAUCUAUCCCUAGGGCAGUUAGCACACUUUUCAUGUUGAAACUGUUAUGAAGGCACCUAAAUGCCAAUCCUAAAUGCAUUUAGCUGACUCUAAAGCUAAAACUCUAGGUAAAGGCACCUAAAUGCCUCAAGGGAUUUUGCCCACUUUUCUAACUCAAACUCUAUGUAUAGGUACCUAAAUGGCUAUCCUUAAGCCUUUUAGCCCACUUUUCAUAUGAAAACUCUAGUAAAGGCACUUCAAUGCCUAUCCUCAAGGCAUUUAUUCCACAUUUCAAUUUAUAGCUGUUGUAUAGGUAGGAACAUAACUGCCAAUUCUAAAGGCAUUUAGCCAAUUUUUCAAUUAAAACUCCAAGUAAAGGCACCUAAUGUUUAAUCCAUGAGGCAUUUAGCCCACUUUUCAUGUCACUGGAUGCCAAUCUUAUCACCGGAUUGCGUCGCCAUCAUGAAUGAUGGAUCCAUUCUCCACCCUAAGAUUGUCCAUCUCCUAUGAAAUCAGAAAUAUCGUUCUUCCCUUGAGAUCUGCUAUGAAGAACCUCCUCAAGUCAAGGAAAUUCCACUUUCAAACGCGGGCACUCCCUAUUGUGAUCAACCCGUUGUUGGAACCACGCAAAAUGCUCCAAUCCUGCACAUCUUGCUGUUGAAUUUUGGACACUGCCAGAUGAUCAUGGGCCAACAAUUACUACAUUAACAUUCUCCUCAUUUUCUACAGUCUUUGAAGUGACAUGGAUAUGCAUUAUAUCAUCUCCUAUAGAAUCUUGGCCUGUUUGGUCAUGUAAUCUGGAAGCAAAGCCUUGAAAGUCUGUCGAGAUUAUGUUUGUGGUUUGUUGAUUUGAUGAUCCAAUCAUCGUUGCAGGGAAUGGAGGUCUUGAUUGAGUUGAAGUAGGUGCAGCCAUGAGGGCCAAUAGUGUUUAUUGUGGUUGUUGCUGAAGACAUUCCAAUUGAGAACAGGUUGACACUUACCUUAAGUUUGUUACCUCAUUGACAUGGAUCAGAUGGUUCCCAUUUUUCCUCUUCAAUAAAAAUUCGGUGGCACGGCAGCUUCACAUUGAGAAGUCAGAUGAAGGCAGAACAAAAACACUGGGUUGAGAAGGGGGCCAGUUGGUCUGGUGACGAAGAAGAUGUGCAGGAAAUGGGCUUGUUACAUCUGGGAGAUUUCAGAAAUUUUCAUGUCUUUCAUGCUCUGUAAAAAUAAAAUAAUAUCCUCUAAUGGUUCACUAAAUGGCAUCUUUUGUGUCUUCCUGACAGAAUUCUAAUUGAUUCACAUCUUGUUUUUACAUUCUUCAAGUCCUUCUGGCAGUAAGUUAAUUCUGUUCUCUUGUUCUUAUCUGUAACUGACUUCCACUUUCAGUGGCUAUGUUUGCAUCUUUUCCAAUAUUUUCUUGCAGAUUUUGUAUUGUGUUCUGUAUACUGUGAUUUUGAUUUUGCAGUCUUUAGGAUUUGGGUGGUGAGUAUUUCUCAGUUGUUUCAUUUUAAUCUUCCGUUUGAUGAUAUUCAUUUUUCGAUUAAGAAGAAACGAUGUUUUUUACUUUUCCGGUGUGGAUGAGAGAUGGUCACAUCCGUUCGUAUGCAGAUGAUCUUGCUCCGUAAAAAAGAAAAUCUUAUAUGUAACCAAGCUGCUUGUUUCUAUUUCUUGUUUGUGCAAUAUCAAGGUACAUUUUAGUCUUCCUGCUCCCAAGGCGGAGAGGAUGAAGAACAUCCAAACCACAAAUUAAACAGAAUGGCCUUCCUGUUCUUAUCUUGUGAUUUGAGGCAGAAAAAGUGGGUAAACAGAAGCCCACAGAAUUCAGGUCCCAUUUUCUGCACCUCCCCAAACACCAAGCGUACUAACUCUCCCAAAGAAGACUCGCUAUCAUUUGGUGGCACACCCAAAUGCUCCCUAAACAGUGUAGCUGCUUAAUUCUAGAGGAAAUCAGGAAAUCCAUGAUUUCAUUUUGGUCAUUAACAUAGUAGCAAAGCUAAAAAUACACUUAAAACCGUUUCCAAAAAUCAGAAGCAAUAAGCAGUUAGAAAAAAAUAGAUAGGUGACGCAGGACAACUAACCACUUGCUCUAAAAGCUUGAACUGAUAGAGCAUGGUGAAUCAAUCCCUUUAUCUCAUAGCCUAGGCCUCACAUCCCAUGGGUUAGGACCUCGUCUGAAUCACCCUCAUAGGCCCCACAUCACAUGGGUUCUGCCUCACAUGAGCCACGUGCCUCACACGGAUGGGGCCCGCCUCACACAGGCCACCCAUCCCGAGUGUGCUCCUGCAUCCCACAGGCCAACCCACUCCAGCCAGGUGUGAAAAUGCCCCUGCAUUAAUAUAGGAUUCUUCUUUGAGUCACUCUUUUUUUCCUAGGCAUCAUCCUGUUGAUUUCUUGUGCAGUUUUCCUUUUGUAUCCUUUCUGCAAUUACUAAAGAUGCCCACUUGAGAGAAUAUCCUUGAACAAAAGAAAUGUGCAUAGCAUAUGAAUCUCUUAGAGUAGAACUUCAAGAUAUUUCACUAUCACAGAUGCCUUUGUAGAUUUUUUAUUUUUUUUUGAAACUCCUUGUGUAAGGAUUUUCUGUUAUCUGCACAACUCUAUUUAGUGGGCUUUCAUUUUUUGGUCGUAGUUGCUGAUUUUCUGGUUUUUCAAAGCUAGUACCUUUUCAUUGAUAAGUACAUAAUAAAUCAAUGGUGGGUUCCAUAUUGGACGUUCCCGAUGCUACUAAUAUUAGUGUUUGUGAUAUAUCAUCAUGGCCUACAUGCGACUACCCAGUAUGGGUACCAGGAGUCUCCUUUUGGGACUUUGUAGAACCCAUUUCGCAACGCAUUGUCUAAAUGAAUGCAGGAAACAUGUCCUACUUACAGAUAGGGUUUUAAAUGGGCCAGGUUCGUUUCGAUCAGGUUUGGCCUGGGCCCAAGCCAUUUAUUAGAUACACCAAGAAUUAAAACCGAAGGCCGACCUGCAAGCAAUGAUGAACUGUGCCCUGAGCCCAACUUGUUUACUGAACAUGUCUCAAAUUCAAGCCACCAUAAACAAUUAAUUAGGCCAAGGCCCAAUCCACUUGCUCGGGCUUGCGGACUGGCCCGUCCCAUUGCCAGCCAUACUUUCAGGAAAGCUGCACAAAGAUUCCAAAAAUUAGGAAACUGCUUCCUAUUAUCUUGUGCCUUUUUUUUUUUUAUAUAGGAUUUUCGCAUAGGAUCUGAAGUUUGUAGCACAUUUUUUUAAAGAAGAUACUCUAAAAUUUGAUUAAACUAAAGGGGAUGGAACUAAUUCAAACUUUAUUAAGAAGAUGUGCUUAGGAAAUACUAGACCAGUUUGAUUAUUCUAUAAUGUUUGUUCAAGAUGUGAAUAAGUCAUGGCUGUUUGUGACAAUAGAUCUCAUAAUAAUAUGAUGCUGCAAAUUCUCGCUUAACUGUUAUUAUGCAUUCGUUGUAUGAUUCUUUUAGUGGUAUCCAUCUAAGUAUUUUUUUUUCCCUUGUAAUUUAGGCCUUAGAAGUAAAUUUACUAUCUGUAACUGUUUCCUCAUUAUGACCGCUUUGGAAUUCAUAUGAGACUUGUAUCCAUUUCUUGCUUCUGGUAAUUAUGAUCUAAACACUCAAGACGUUAAAGAGAACAGAAGAGAAAUUUUUAUACUUGGAUUGAAUGAUUGACUAAUGCUAGAUAUCUAGCACUUCAGGUGAUGGAAUUUGUUAUUUGAGAUCAGGCUACAGUGUCCCAGGUAAGUGGACCAUGGAUUAGCCACUUGGGUCCGGAACUUCAUCAUAGCCAUCCUUGGCCCUUGAUCAUACGUCGAGAAGCCAAGGUGCCACCUUUGAGAUCCAACAUAAACUAAGAAGUGAUGAGGAAAGGAAAAUGUCACAUCUGAGGAAAACUAUGGAAAUGAAAAAUGUUUCCCUUGCUUUAGGUAUGAGAGAAAAGGAAAUUGCUCGUUGCAGAGGAAAUUUGAAGAAAGGAAAUCAAUUUCCUCAAUCCUCUCUUUACAUGAAUGAGGGAAACUGUUGGAAAUUGCAUUUCCUUGGUAAUUUUUAUUUUAUUUUAUUUUAUUUUUUCAAAUUCCUCCAAUCCAAACAGCCCCAAAUUUUCUUCUAGGUGGCAAGGGUUGCAUUUGGAUGCACUAUCAAAAAUUGAAUUGCAAUCAUGAUUUGAAUAAAGUGGAAAUGACCAAAUCAUAACUUCCCUGGCAAUGUACAUGUCAACUGCCUGAAUUCCAAAUUGCAACCAUGUUAGUUUCAACUUUCAAGUCAUACCUAAAGAAACAUAACUGCUACCUUACAGAUGCCAGGAAACAUCUGUAUAUUUGAUCAUUUCCUUUUCAAUUAAACAUUAUGAUCGCAAUUCAAUUCACUUGUGCAUCCAAACGGCAGCCUAAGUAUAUGUUUGGGUUCUAUUUUCAAAACCACGUCAAACACGGGAAGAAAAUGAAAUGAUAUAUAUCCAUUGGUUGAAAAUGAGAAAUCAAGAAGAACAGUAUCAUAUCUCAGACAACCACAGACAUUAAUCGACAUUGAGGGAGAUAAAGAGUAGAUAGUUAUCUGCAUCAGUCAAUGUCAGAACUGUUGAAUUCUACACUAAAACAACUCUCCCAGUAAAUCAUAAGCCAAUGAAGUCUAUGUGAGGUAGAAGACUCAAACGGUUUAGACUCUUUGGCUCACAACUUCCACCAGAACAGUCUCUAUAUAUACACAACAGUGUCAUGAUUCUAAGGUUCCAUGACUAUUAUGGAAAGCUGUUGGAAGUUACGUUAGACAUUGGAACAUGGAAUUUAUAGAAGAUGGAACAUUCCAAUCCCCCACAAAGGCCACUUUAUGGCUAAUCAUAUGGAAUAGCAGGUGCAACCUGUAAUGAUUCGACGAUGAUGACCGCCCAAAUAGAAUUUUCUCGCAUAAAUCAGCACCCAAGUGUAUGAACUUUGGAAUGACAUGUGACAACCAAUACCGACAAAGAUAACCCAUAUCAUAUUUGCAUCUUAUCAAUGUUUUUUCUUUCUUCUUUUUUCUGAGAACACUCGCGUCUAAUCAAUAUCUUUUCUACAGUUUUAUUCUCUUGUAAGGAUUAUCAGGUAGGCGUGAUUUACACACCGUUCUUUCUUCGUUGAUUCCAGUUGCGGGUUCGAUGGUUACGUGCAGAAUAUCAACUGUGAUGGUGCAUCUUGUGGGUGGAUGGAUUGAGUGGUGGGUGGCCAACAUAUAAAUGGAUUAUGUAGAUGGAUGCCUUGAUGGGGACAUGUCUUAUAAUGCUUUGGUUGCUGAGAUUGAUGUUUAUGGGCUUCCCUUUAUUGUUCUUCUUGCAUCAGAAUAUUGGAAUAAAUUCCUGUAUUUAUGGCCACCAUCAGUAUCUGAGAAUGUCUGAUUUCUUCCACUGCCCAUGCAUGGCACCUUAACCUCUUGCUACUAAAGCUCCCUUUCUCUACCUUUUUAACUA